Molecule: ribosomal RNA, 465 nt
Filed under: Vreelandella stevensii
Lineage: Bacteria; Pseudomonadati; Pseudomonadota; Gammaproteobacteria; Oceanospirillales; Halomonadaceae
Description: partial 16S ribosomal RNA
Rfam family: Bacterial small subunit ribosomal RNA
Source: RNAcentral
CCUACGGGAGGCUGCAGUGGGGAAUAUUGGACAAUGGGGGGAACCCUGAUCCAGCCAUGCCGCGUGUGUGAAGAAGGCCCUCGGGUUGUAAAGCACUUUCAGUGAGGAAGAACGCCUGGUGGUUAAUACCCAUCAGGAAAGACAUCACUCACAGAAGAAGCACCGGCUAACUCCGUGCCAGCAGCCGCGGUAAUACGGAGGGUGCGAGCGUUAAUCGGAAUUACUGGGCGUAAAGCGCGCGUAGGUGGCUUGAUAAGCCGGUUGUGAAAGCCCCGGGCUCAACCUGGGAACGGCAUCCGGAACUGUCAAGCUAGAGUGCAGGUGAGGAAGGUAGAAUUCCCGGUGUAGCGGUGAAAUGCGUAGAGAUCGGGAGGAAUACCAGUGGCGAAGGCGGCCUUCUGGACUGACACUGACACUGAGGUGCGAAAGCGUGGGUAGCAAACAGGAUUAGAUACCCUGGUAGUC